Molecule: ribosomal RNA, 668 nt
Filed under: uncultured bacterium
Lineage: Bacteria
Description: bacterial SSU rRNA
Rfam family: Bacterial small subunit ribosomal RNA
Source: RNAcentral
AAGCGGCGGACGGGUGCGUAACACGUGGAUAAUCUGCCCUUGAGUGGGGAACAACAGUCCGAAAGGAUUGCUAAUGCCGCAUGUGCCGGCUGGGACCCCGGUCCUGGUCGGAAAAGGGGGCGCCCGCAAGGGGCUCUCGCUCAAGGAUGAGUCCGCGGCCCAUCAGCUUGUUGGCGGGGUAAUGGCCCACCAAGGCUUUGACGGGUAGCUGGUCUGAGAGGAUGACCAGCCACACUGGGACUGAGACACGGCCCAGACUCCUACGGGAGGCAGCAGUGGGGAAUAUUGGGCAAUGGGCGAAAGCCUGACCCAGCCAUGCCGCGUGAGUGAUGAAGGCCUUCGGGUCGUAAAGCUCUGUGGGAAGGGACGAAAAAAACCGACCUAACACGUCGGGGCUUGACGGUACCUUCUUAGCAAGCACCGGCUAACUCCGUGCCAGCAGCCGCGGUAAUACGGAGGGUGCAAACGUUGCUCGGAAUCAUUGGGCGUAAAGCGCACGUAGGCGGUCUGUUAUGUCGGAUGUGAAAGCCUCGGGCUUAACCCGAGAAGGGCAUCCGAAACUGGCGGGCUUGAGUACGGAAGAGGGUCUCGGAAUUCCCGGUGUAGAGGUGAAAUUCGUAGAUAUCGGGAGGAACACCAGUGGCGAAGGCGGAGACCUGGGCCGAUAC